GCUGGUGUGGCGCAAUUGGCAGCGCAACCGCCUUGUAAGCGGUAGGUUGCGGGUUCGAGUCCCGCCACCAGCUCCA
RNAcentral lists this transfer RNA (76 nucleotides) under Actinorhabdospora filicis. RNAcentral describes it as "tRNA-Thr". It matches the Rfam family "tRNA". Rfam says of the family: Transfer RNA (tRNA) molecules are approximately 80 nucleotides in length. Their secondary structure includes four short double-helical elements and three loops (D, anti-codon, and T loops). Further hydrogen bonds mediate the characteristic L-shaped molecular structure. tRNAs have two regions of fundamental functional importance: the anti-codon, which is responsible for specific mRNA codon recognition, and the 3' end, to which the tRNAs corresponding amino acid is attached (by aminoacyl-tRNA synthetases). tRNAs cope with the degeneracy of the genetic code in two manners: having more than one tRNA (with a specific anti-codon) for a particular amino acid; and 'wobble' base-pairing, i.e. permitting non-standard base-pairing at the 3rd anti-codon position. Lineage: Bacteria; Bacillati; Actinomycetota; Actinomycetes; Micromonosporales; Micromonosporaceae. The record is from RNAcentral.